GCGCGGGUGGCGGAAUGGUAGACGCUCUAGUCUCAGAAGCUAGUGGGGUAAAACCCGUGUGAGUUCGAGUCUCAUCUCGCGCA
This 83-nucleotide transfer RNA is filed under the name Candidatus Cryptobacteroides caccocaballi. RNAcentral's name for it is "tRNA-Leu". It matches the Rfam family "tRNA". Rfam says of the family: Transfer RNA (tRNA) molecules are approximately 80 nucleotides in length. Their secondary structure includes four short double-helical elements and three loops (D, anti-codon, and T loops). The record is from RNAcentral. Lineage: Bacteria; Pseudomonadati; Bacteroidota; Bacteroidia; Bacteroidales.